Long non-coding RNA from Hypanus sabinus (Atlantic stingray), 4411 nucleotides. RefSeq lists it as uncharacterized. The transcript is spliced from 2 exons. The record is from RefSeq and is a predicted model, not a curated record. NCBI's taxonomy places the organism in Eukaryota, Metazoa, Chordata, Chondrichthyes, Myliobatiformes, Dasyatidae.
CCCCUCCUUUGCCCUCAGGCUGCAGCCCUCUCCCUCAGGCCCCGGACACUCACCAGGUGCAGGACGAACGGAGCUCCGAGCAGCGCGAUCCAUACAUACAGGUGGAAGGUAUUGGAGAAGCCGCUCUGCUGGGGCUCCAGUUACAGCAAGAACACCAGCAAACAGAUGAGGCCAACGUGAACAGCAUCUCCACCACGAUAAAGCAACGCCAACUCCGAUGGAUAGAUCAUGUCAUUCGGAUGCCUAACUCACAUUUCCCAGAUUGUUGACUCCCAGUUGAAGGAGAGACAGCAAGCCCCAGGUGGGCAGAGGAAACUUCAAAGAUAACAUCAAAAUCAGCCUGAAUAAAUUCAAUAUUACAUCUAAAACCCAAAAAUACAUUGCACUCAAUAGAUAUACCUGGAAGAAAUAUGUUCAGGAGGGUGUUACGCUACGAGAGCACGGAGAACAAGUGGCAGAUGCGAAUGGAGAGACUGAACAACACAAAAACCCAACCCUUUACCCUUAGUACACCAGAAUAUAUGGAUCCCCUAUCAGCCUCUACAGCCACCUAAGGACCCACCAUUAGUCAACCCCUUAGCAGCGGUCCAUAGAUUCUUGACAAGUCAGGACAUCAAGGGCUAUGGGGAGAUGGCAGGAAAAUGGGUUGAGAGAUAUUAAAUUAGUCGUGAUGGAAUGGUGGAGCAGACACAAUAGGCUGAAUGGCCUAUUUUUGCUCCUGUCUUAUGGUCUUAGAAAACAUACUCAACUCGACUGAUCACGCUACUACAACAAGGGUGAUGUAAGGUACAAAGCAGACAAAUAACUUGGAGGCAGAAGUAAAGAGAUCAGUAGAACUAACAUUAAGGGCUGAAUUCAUGGUGGAGGACAAGGGUUGAACUUCAAAACAGAAUUAAAUCUACAUCAAAGAAUUUUGAGGCCCCAUUUCCUAGCCUGCUUUGUCGAUCCAUCUGUUGUUUCAUCUGGGUGCCAAGUCUCAAAAACUGUCAACAAAGUCUGAAUUCCACAUCAAAGGAAAUCCAGUCUAAUCUUGGCAUCAGGUGUUUAUCAUGCAUAGGACACACUUUCACUAUUGCUAUAGGAACUUUGGAGGCAUCAGGGAGCUCUAACCGAAAUGUAAAAGGUAAAAAAAAACACAUUAUAGGUAAGUGCAGAGGUAAUAGGGACAUAUUUCGUUGAGUGAGCCACAGUUCCAAAGGACUAAAUUUCAUAACACAAGAGAUUCUGUGAUUCUGGAAAUCUUGAGGAUCUUAGUAAGUCUUAGGCAUCUAUGAACUGUAAUGAACAGCCGACAUUUUAAACUAAGCUCCUUUAUCAGGACUGGAAAGGAUUGAAGAAGAAGGCAGAGUAAAAAGGUAUGGCUCCAGGGGUAGGCUACAAGCUGGCACAUGAUAGGUGAGAUCAGGUGAGGGGGAAAGUAGGUGUGUGGGGGAGGGUGAUGUAAGCAGGUGGAAAGGGUAAAGGGCUGAAGAAGAAAUCAAAUAGGACAGGACAGUGGACCAUGGAAAAAAGGGAAAGAGGAGGGGAAUUAAAGGGAGGUUAUGAGCAGGUGAGACGUAAAGGAGAGAGAGAGGAUAACCAGAAUAGGGAAUGGAAAAAGAGGGAAUAAUGGGGGGGGGGGGUGAAUUACUGGAAAUUAGGGAAAUCAAUUUUUAUGCCAUCAGCUCGGAGGUUACCCAGAUGGAAUAGGAGGUGUUGCUCCUCCAACCUGAGUUUGGCAUCAUCAUGGUAGAGGACAAAGCUUUUCAGUCCUGAUGAAGAGUCUUGGCCCAAAAUAUCAACUGUUUAUUCCCCCCAUAGAUGCAGCCUGACUUACAGUUUCUUUUUUUCCACCUUCUGCAUUGCCCCAUGUUCCCACCACUGAGUGAGUGGCUGCUUACAUAGUCAAUAUGAAAUAGGAGUGAUGAUGUCGUGCAGUUGCUGUUUCAGGAGCUCCAGAGUGCCUGAAGGGAAUAAAGUCAGAAAAUUUAAUCAGUAAUUUAUUUCUUGAGAACAUUGAGCAGAAUAAGCACAUUCAGUCCAUUGAGCCUGCUCUGCCAAUCCAUCAUGCCUGAGUUAUUAUCUCAACCCCCGUUUUUCUGCCUUCUCCCCAUAACUUUUGAUGGACUUUCUAAUCAAGAACUCAUCAACUGCCGCUUUAAUUAUAUCCAAUGAUUUGGCCUUCACAAUUAUCUGUGACAAUAAAUUCCUCAGGUUACCACUCUGGCAAAAUAAUUACCUACUCAUCUCCGUUCUAAAGGGAAAUCCUUUUCUGAGGUUGUGCUGUCUGAUCUUAGACUAAUGGAAACAUUCUCUCCAGCUAGGCUUUUCAGUAUUCAGAAGGUUUCAAUGAGAUCCCCCUUCAUUCUUCUAAACUGCAGCAAGUAGAUAUGUACACAUGGAUGUGAGAGUACACAUCCGAAUUCAGAUAAUUCUCAGCAUCAACCACAAAAUCUCAUCUCAGAAGCUUAUCAACGUAGAAAACUGACAGACACAUAUUGAUCCAUGAUGUUUCACCCACACUUACUAUUAUAAGACACUGGAGCACAAUUAGGCCAUUUGAUUCAUUAAGUCCGCUCAGCUAUUUAAUCAUGGUUAAUCCUUUUUUCACCUCAACCCCAAUCUCCUGCCAUCUCCCCAUAUCCCUUUAUGCUCUGAGUAACCAAGAAUCUGUCAACCUGCCUUAAAUAUACCCAAUGACUUGGCCUCCACAGUCACCUGUGACAACAAAUUCCACAGAUUCACCACUUCCUGGCUAAAGAAAUUCCUCCUCAUCUCCAUUCUAAAAGGAUGCCCCUCUAUUCUGAGACUAUGUCCUCUGGUCUUAGAAUCCUCCACCAUAGAAAACUUUCUCCUCACAUCCACUCUAUCGAGGCCUUUCAACAUUCAAUAGGUUUCAAUGAGAUUACCCCUCAUUCUUCUGAAUUGCAAUGAGUAGAGACCCAGGGCCACCAAACUCUUCUCAUACAAGACUUUCAAUCCUGGAAUCAUUUUUGUAAAUUUCUCUGAACCUGCUCCAAUGUCAAUUCAUCUUUUCGUAGGUAAGGGGUCCAAAAUUGCUCACAAUACUCCAAGUGAGGCUUACUUUAUAAAGCCUCAGCAUUAAAUCCUUGCUUUUAUAUUCUAGUCCUCUAGAAAUGAAUGGUAAUAUCACAUUUGCCUUCCUCACCACUGACUCAACCUACAAAUUAACCUUUAGUGAAUGCUGCAUGAGGAUUCCUUAGUCCCUCUGCACUUCAGAUUAUUGAAUCUCCUCUCCAAAUGGAAAUUAAUCUAUGCUUUUAUUUCUUCUAUUAAAGUCCAUGACCAUACAUUUCCUGACACUGUAUUCCAUCUGCCAUUUCUUUGCCCCUCCACCUAUCUUCGUAUUGUCAGCAAACUCGGCCCCAAAGCCAUCAAUUCCAUCAUCCCAAUCAUUGACAUACAGGUGUCCCCACUUUACGAAUGUUUGCUUUUCCCCAUAUAAAUUUGUGGUUCUUCACUUUACGCCAUUUUGGCUUAAGAAGGGUUUCAUAGGAAUGCUCUACCUUUGUAAAGGUGGCCGGGGGGGGGGGGGGGGGGGGGAAACACCCGUAUAACAUAAAAGGAAUCGGUUCCAACACAAGUCCACCAUUACUAUCAACUCUGAAUUGAUAGAGACCACUGGAACCCAAAUACAGCCCUUUACAGUCUGUUUAAGUGUUGUCAGAAGUGGUCUACAUGGAAGAGUUGCUGCCAAAAAGCUUUUUCUCCAAAGUGGAAACAAAGCCAAGAGGCUCACUUAUGUACAAACAUAUAAGGACUGGGGUGCUGAACAAUUGCAGCAAGUGCUCUGGACUGAUGAGUCAAAAUUUGAAAUUGUUGGCUCACACAGGAGGUAGUUUGUCCAUAGAAGAUCUGGAGAGCCCUACAUGGAUGAGUGUCAACAGCCAACACUGAAGCUCCAGGUUAGAGGCUGCAUUUCUGCAAAUGGAGUUUGUGAUCUCUCCAGAAUUAAUGGAAUCCUCAAUGCUGAGAAAUACAAGCAGAUCAUUUUCCAUCACAAAAUACCACCAGGGAGGCAUCUGAUCGGUCCCUAAUUGAAUGUGCAGCAGGACAAUGACCCCAAGCACAUGGCCAAGGUCAUAAAAAACUAUCAUCAACAAAAAGAACAAGGAGUUCAGGAACAGAUGGUAUGCCCUCCACAGAGCCCAGAUAUCAACAUAGAGGAUAUCUGGAAUUACCUGGAGAGGCAGAAGUAAGUGAGACAGCCAAAGUCUGCAAGAACUGUGACAGCUUCCCCAAGACACUUAGAACAACCUUAACAAUCAAUUUUUUUAUUAAACUGCACAACAGUGUACCUAAGAGAACUGAUGCAGUUUUAAAGGCAAAGGGUGCUCAGCAAAUAUUGAUUUGAUUUUGCUUUUUUCACUGUUUACUGGGUCUUUAUAGUAAAUCUUUUGAUACUCAGAAA